UGGGGAAUAUUGCACAAUGGGCGCAAGCCUGAUGCAGCCAUGCCGCGUGUAUGAAGAAGGCCUUCGGGUUGUAAAGUACUUUCAGUCGGGAGGAAGGUGUCAAAGUUAAUACCUUUGCUCAUUGACGUUACCCGCAGAAGAAGCGCCGGCUAACUCCGUGCCAGCAGCCGCGGUAAUACGGAGGGUGCAAGCGUUAAUCGGAAUUACUGGGCGUAAAGCGCACGCAGGCGGUUUGUUAAGUCAGAUGUGAAAUCCCCGGGCUCAACCUGGGAACUGCAUCUGAUACUGGCAAGCUUGAGUCUCGUAGAGGGGGGUAGAAUUCCAGGUGUAGCGGUGAAAUGCGUAGAGAUCUGGAGGAAUACCGGUGGCGAAGGCGGCCCCCUGGACAAAGACUGACGCUCAGGUGCGAAAGCGUGGGGAGCAAACAGG
This 429-nucleotide ribosomal RNA is filed under the name Chloroflexota bacterium. Its description in RNAcentral is "Chloroflexi bacterium partial 16S ribosomal RNA". It matches the Rfam family "Bacterial small subunit ribosomal RNA", at positions 355 to 776 of the family's 1533-position model. Lineage: Bacteria; Bacillati; Chloroflexota. The record is from RNAcentral.